GACGAACGCUGUCGGCGUGCUUAACACAUGCAAGUCGAACGGAAAGGCCCUGCUUUUGUGGGGUGCUCGAGUGGCGAACGGGUGAGUAACACGUGAGUAACCUGCCCUUGACUUUGGGAUAACUUCAGGAAACUGGGGCUAAUACCGGAUAGGAGCUCCUGCUGCAUGGUGGGGGUUGGAAAGUUUCGGCGGUUGGGGAUGGACUCGCGGCUUAUCAGCUUGUUGGUGGGGUAGUGGCUUACCAAGGCUUUGACGGGUAGCCGGCCUGAGAGGGUGACCGGCCACAUUGGGACUGAGAUACGGCCCAGACUCCUACGGGAGGCAGCAGUGGGGAAUAUUGCACAAUGGGCGGAAGCCUGAUGCAGCAACGCCGCGUGCGGGAUGACGGCCUUCGGGUUGUAAACCGCUUUCGCCUGUGACGAAGCGUGAGUGACGGUAAUGGGUAAAGAAGCACCGGCUAACUACGUGCCAGCAGCCGCGGUGAUACGUAGGGUGCGAGCGUUGUCCGGAUUUAUUGGGCGUAAAGGGCUCGUAGGUGGUUGAUCGCGUCGGAAGUGUAAUCUUGGGGCUUAACCCUGAGCGUGCUUUCGAUACGGGUUGACUUGAGGAAGGUAGGGGAGAAUGGAAUUCCUGGUGGAGCGGUGGAAUGCGCAGAUAUCAGGAGGAACACCAGUGGCGAAGGCGGUUCUCUGGGCCUUUCCUGACGCUGAGGAGCGAAAGCGUGGGGAGCGAACAGGCUUAGAUACCCUGGUAGUCCACGCUGUAAACGGUGGGUACUAGGUGUGGGGUCCAUUCCACGGGUUCCGUGCCGUAGCUAACGCUUUAAGUACCCCGCCUGGGGAGUACGGCCGCAAGGCUAAAACUCAAAGGAAUUGACGGGGCCCCGCACAAGCGGCGGAGCAUGCGGAUUAAUUCGAUGCAACGCGUAGAACCUUACCUGGGUUUGACAUGGAUCGGGAGUGCUCAGAGAUGGGUGUGCCUCUUUUGGGGUCGGUUCACAGGUGGUGCAUGCCUGUCGUCAGCUCGUGUCGUGAGAUGUUGGGUUAAGUCCCGCAACGAGCGCAACCCUUGUUCACUGUUGCCAGCACGUUAUGGUGGGGACUCAGUGGAGACCGCCGGGGUUAACUCGGAGGAAGGUGGGGAUGACGUCAAGUCCUCAUGCCCCUUAUGUCCAGGGCUUCACGCAUGCUACAAUGGCUGGUACAGAGAGUGGCGAGCCUGUGAGGGUGAGCGAAUCUCGGAAAGCCGGUCUCAGUUCGGAUUGGGGUCUGCAACUCGACCUCAUGAAGUCGGAGUCGCUAGUAAUCGCAGAUCAGCAACGCUGCGGUGAAUACGUUCCCGGGGCU
This 1346-nucleotide ribosomal RNA is filed under the name uncultured bacterium. Its description in RNAcentral is "bacterial SSU rRNA". It matches the Rfam family "Bacterial small subunit ribosomal RNA", at positions 28 to 1381 of the family's 1533-position model. The record is from RNAcentral.